GAGAGGCCCAAACGUUAUUCGGAUUUACUGGGCUUAAAGAGUUCGUAGGCGGCGCAGAAAGCAGGGUGUGAAAGCCCUCGGCUCAACCGAGGAAUUGCGCUCUAGACUACUGUGCUUGAGGAAGCUAGAGGUGAGCGGAACUGAUGGUGGAGCGGUGAAAUGCGUUGAUAUCAUCAGGAACACCGGAGGCGAAGGCGGCUCACUGGGGCUUUUCUGACGCUGAGGAACGAAAGCCAGGGGAGCGAACGGGAUUAGAUACCCCGGUAGUCCUGGCCGUAAACGAUGAGCACUAGGCCGGAGGGCUGCACAGC
RNAcentral lists this ribosomal RNA (311 nucleotides) under uncultured bacterium. RNAcentral's name for it is "bacterial SSU rRNA". It matches the Rfam family "Bacterial small subunit ribosomal RNA", at positions 527 to 838 of the family's 1533-position model. The record is from RNAcentral.